Molecule: long non-coding RNA, 875 nt
Filed under: Ixodes scapularis (black-legged tick)
Lineage: Eukaryota; Metazoa; Arthropoda; Arachnida; Ixodida; Ixodidae
Description: uncharacterized LOC115319482
Source: RNAcentral
GCACCAAGUAUAAGUGCCAGCCGCAUGUCCGCCCACGAGUGUUGGGACAACGGUAAACCCAAGUGGAAGAAAACAGACUUCGAGAAGAAUCGGGGCAUCCACGCAACAGGAGGGGGCACUGGUAUCGCACCCGCUGAACAAUGGGCCCGUCCCUCCAUCUUGUGGGGGCACUGGUGUUCCACAUGGCAAUGCGGCUGCCAAGCCCGUACAGCAGUGGCAGCGCCUGCGCUGGUUGGCCGGUGCUUUCAAUGCUGCCAGCCGCCAUUCCCGACGCCACAGUGAACGAGCAUGACGACUGGCAUGAUGCCUGAUUCACCUGCCUCACCGCUGCUGGACUGGGGUGGCAUCAUGGAGGUUGCGGUUGCUGCGCCACCAACCAAGCCCCCACCUCCUCUACCUCCUCAGCCGCCACGUGUGGUUGUCCGAGUGAAGACAACUAAAGGCCGCACCGACUGGAGGAGCUGCACCUGCUGUAGGUGGAGCUACGUCAGUGUCAGGUUGUCUAUUAACAGACUUAGGCCCAGGUUUUCCAUCAGCAGCAGUGUAACAAGCUGGUUCGAGCUUGAGCUGCUUCAGCUCAACAAACUAAUCACGCUGCAACAACUGCUUGUUCUCGGGGCCCAGCCACAACAGUAGGCUGAUUUGUUCGAUUUGUUUCAUCUUCCUCUUUAGUAAUUACCACUCUCUUUUGUGUUUAAGAAUGCUUUUUUAAAGUCUGUAACUUGCUUCAUUUUAUCCCUGACCUGAAGUUGUUACAAGUGUUGACCAUAUCUCGUUCGUUAAAGCCUAGCAUUUUUUUUAACUUGUUUCUCGAUUCGCUAUUCUUAGUGAACAUUUUAUGCAAAAGGGCAGUUAUGUCAGCUUUAAAUCUAUUC